ACGGAAGGCAGCAGUGGGGAAUAUUGGGCAAUGGGCGCAAGCCUGACCCAGCGACGCCGCGUGAAGGAAGAAGGUUUUCGGAUUGUAAACUUCUUUUAUCAGGGACGAAGAAAGUGACGGUACCUGAUGAAUAAGCCACGGCUAACUACGUGCCAGCAGCCGCGGUAAUACGUAGGUGGCAAGCGUUAUCCGGAUUUACUGGGUGUAAAGGGCGCGUAGGCGGGGAUGCAAGUCAGGUGUGAAAUCUAUGGGCUUAACCCAUAAACUGCAUUUGAAACUGUAUCUCUUGAGUGUCGGAGAGGUAGACGGAAUUCCUAGUGUAGCGGUGAAAUGCGUAGAUAUUAGGAGGAACACCAGUGGCGAAGGCGGAUUGCUGGACGACAACUGACGGUGAGGCGCGAAAGCGUGGGGAGCAAACAGGAUUAGAUACCCUGGUA
Molecule: ribosomal RNA, 437 nt
Filed under: uncultured Oscillospiraceae bacterium
Lineage: Bacteria; Bacillati; Bacillota; Clostridia; Eubacteriales; Oscillospiraceae
Description: bacterial SSU rRNA
Rfam family: Bacterial small subunit ribosomal RNA
Source: RNAcentral